This 110-nucleotide ribosomal RNA is filed under the name Periophthalmus magnuspinnatus. The record is from RNAcentral. Lineage: Eukaryota; Metazoa; Chordata; Actinopteri; Gobiiformes; Gobiidae.
CUUCACACCCUUGUCAAAGCCUUGUCCCGUCAGAUCUCGAAAGCGAAGCAGGGCCGGGUCUGGUUAGUACUUGGAUGGGAUACCGCUGGGAAUGCCAGGUACCACAAAGG